GAUCAUGGCUCAGGAUGAACGCUAGCGGCAGGCUUAANCAUGCAAGUCGAGGGGUAGAGGUUGCUUGCAACCUUGAGACCGGCGCACGGGUGCGUAACGCGUAUGCAAUCUACCUUAUACAGGGGAAUAGCCCAGAGAAAUUUGGAUUAAUGCCCCAUAGUGUUAUCGAAUCGCAUGGUUUGAUAACUAAAGUUCCAACGGUAUAAGAUGAGCAUGCGUCCCAUUAGUUAGUUGGUAAGGUAACGGCUUACCAAGACAAUGAUGGGUAGGGGUCCUGAGAGGGAGAUCCCCCACACUGGUACUGAGACACGGACCAGACUCCUACGGGAGGCAGCAGUGAGGAAUAUUGGUCAAUGGGCGCAAGCCUGAACCAGCCAUGCCGCGUGCAGGAAGACGGUCCUAUGGAUUGUAAACUGCUUUUAUACAGGAAGAAACCCUCCCACGUGUGGGAGCUUGACGGUACUGUAGGAAUAAGGAUCGGCUAACUCCGUG
RNAcentral lists this ribosomal RNA (492 nucleotides) under uncultured bacterium. RNAcentral's name for it is "bacterial SSU rRNA". It matches the Rfam family "Bacterial small subunit ribosomal RNA", at positions 15 to 507 of the family's 1533-position model. The record is from RNAcentral.